AAACACAGAAGAAUCCCUGAUCAUUGCAAGACUGCGGCGCCCAGGUGAAGUCAAGUGUUGACUGCUCUGUAACCUAUCCCAUGCGCAGAUGCUGUUUCGAGCCUUGAUCAGCCAAAUAUUCAGUGCUGCAAAAGCCAUUGGAGAAAGAUCAGUCUGUCUGACAACAUCAUUCUUUGCAGCGUGGUGGAUUUUGAAUAGAGGCUGGCGGCUCUGUUGUGAGAAGCAGCAGCUCCCGAACAAUGGAGGAUAAGCAUCAGAAGCACCUUGGGAAAACCUCUGAUUUCAAAGUGCUGUGGUGUGAAUAUGAAUUUUAACUAGCAAGAAGAAAAAAAGAGUAUCUCCUUUUAGAAAGCUGAGUUCAACCCUAUUGAAACACAAGGGCUGGAGGAACUGAUAAGUACUUGGGACACAAUACAAAACAAGUCAACGGAAAAGUUCCUGCUAACUUCAAUAGUCGUCGACUCAGGUUUUCUAAAGCUAUGUUUUUCAAGCACUUAUGGACACGAAUCUUCCCAAGCAUGAGAAGCUAACAUAAUUGUUGAACAGUUUAGGUAUUUAUGUGGAUAAUUUGGCAACCCUGAGGAAGGGAAGAUGCAGCACUGGCAAAAAAGAUUGGCCACGCUAAAAGCAACCCCAGAGGGAGGAUCAGUGCCCAGCGCCCCGAAAGCUUGAAAGCAGAGAUGCUGGCGGGAAGCUACCGAGAGCCGUCAGGCUCUGAUGCCUUUGGGUGUCCAGGGGAGGCUCGAACUUGCCUGCAGGAGUGCUAGGUGUUGUGCUCGUGUCCGAAAGGCCUUGGGCUGCUGCCUGCAGCUCAAAGUGUGGGGCCGCUGGCUGACCUUGCGGAGGCUGCUGCGUUAUUUCUGGACCCUUUUUCCGCGAGGCUGAAUUUUAAGCAGAACCGGGGAUUCUGCAGCUUUGAUUAUUUCCCUGGAUAGAUCUUUCCCUUUCUAUUGUUUAAAAUAAAUAAAUAAAUGUUAGGGGAAGAGAUCUGAAAGAUUUACAUUUGCAAGGAGGGUUAAACGGUGGUUGCCAAGCACAGCUGGAGCGUGUCUCAUGUGCUGCAUCUCUGAGCCUGGCCUCCACGGGCUCGUACACAAAGCACUGCUUGCGCACAGCUUCAUGGCUAAGCUAGGGGAAAUAACCAAGAGGAAGAGAUGAGCUACAUAAAGAGUUAUCUUCAGAAGUUCCCUGAAUAAAGGCAAAACAAAUACUGUGUGCUUCUGAAGCAAUAGAGUGUGUGUGGGGGGGUUUCUUGGAGCUGAGUGAGGCUGCAAGAAGGACUGGUGACCACGUGUCCACUGCUGGCCCCUAGUCCUGCACUGGCCCAGGAAGAUGGUGCCGCGUUUUGCCCGUGUGGCUUUUGGUGUCUGGCGGGGAGCGCUUCUAGGGUCACGCAGGCUGGAAGGACUGUGUUUUGUUUCAGCUUCCUUUCGCAGAGCUCAUUUCCUAAGUUUUGUGCAACUCUAUUUUUCACCCAGGAUAAAAGGCAGGUUAAAAUCUAGCUGCAGUGUCCGUCCUUGCACGUAGAGCCUUCGUUUCAGAAUGGGGUCUCUAAAUAUUUAUAGGUUUGGGUUCUAAACUUGAUGUAUAUUUGACCUUCAUACAUAUUUCAGUUCUGGUCCACUCUUUGCAUUGAAUGUAAGCACCUUCUAGCUAUGUUCAAAUACACUAUUUUAGCUGAAAGGGUUGGACAUAAGGGAAAUUCAUGGGGAAAAGGGGGUAAGAGUAACAAAAUACCUGUGCAUUCAUAUAGUUCAUGUAAAUAUAAAUAUGUAGCCUUAGAUAUAUUUGUUGCACUGAAAUUAUAUCCUUAAUGCAGUAGUUUCAACCUUAAUUCAGCCUGUGAGGCUCUAAAAAGAUUCUGUGGCUAUAAGGACCUCUUUAUAUUGAAGCCUGUUAGUAGUAAGCUUACUUUUCUUGCCUUUUUGGGACCUUUUAUCACCUUAAAAGCAAUCCGUAGAUUUGCAGGGGUCCACAGACCAUAGUGACUUAUUGACAGCUACUGCACUAAUGUGCUUAUGGACAGGGAGAAACACAGGGGUGCCAGCUCUGUCCUCACAGACUGGCUCCUCCUGAGCAUCCAGCAUCUGCACCGUUUUUGUGAAAGUAAAGUUGACAGAUAUACCUAUGGGGGAGACGUACCAUGCUAUGUGUUGGCUGCCUCUGGAACAAAAUUUUGCAGGUGAAAAAUCCCUGUAUUGCAUCAUCAGACUGCAAGCAUAUAAUAUUACUAGCUAGGAGCUGUUGAAUUUUAAAUGAAAGGUUUACUUCUCUGUGAUUUGUACCACUGCAUGCUAAUGCAGGAAAUGGUAUCUACUGAACCUCUAAGUAAUGUAUAUGAUGCAUCAUUUUUUUCCAUGUCCAGCAAAAAAGCAGCUGUCAAAAAUUUCAAUUUUCUGUUUUAAUGCCUUCAAAUAACCUUUGCAAAUGCUAAUUUCCUUGUACAGCAUUCUCCAGCAGUUUUAGUUAGGGCAAUGUAAGCAGCAUGGAUUUUGCAGUUUUGCUUUUUUUUUGAAGCACCUCAGCUAGGGUUUUUUUUCAUAAUUAUUGUGUUUUUAAAUUGAUAUCAGAUUUCGCAAGCAUAUUAUUCUAACCACAGUAGCAACUUUCAGUUUGCAUAUUGAAUAACAGUCCUUUCACGUUAUUCAGAACUGGUUUGUAUCUGGUGAACUUCUAAUAUUUUUUUCCUUAGAUUCUGACAGUUAUGUAAUUAUCUUGUUAACACGGAUCAUUUGAUUUUAUAUCAGCUUAAACUGUAGUCUCAAUGAGGGUUCAUUUUUGCAGUAUGCUGUGUUGACAGCAAGGUAUGGAGAACUUGAAUGGAUAUAUAUCUUAUUAAAUGCAGAUUUCAUUAGCAUAUUAUGUUAAUACUCUUUUAAGUUCAAUAAAUUUGUGUGGCACACUUAAAAAGCUAUAAGCUUCUCCAUAAAGGUUUGGAUAAACAUUUUGAAGCUUUAUCUUGGUGUUCAUUAGUGUGCAUACAGAUUUUUGCUUUUGGCAGUGGCCGUCUGCGGCAGGGUGUUUCCUCACCUGCGGUGCAGCUGGUGGUAGAUUAUCCUCCAGCAUUGCCUAUGGUUGUUGGGCUUGGGGUGGUGGUCUUUGCCCAUACGUGCGUUACGAAAAUACCGCACGUUCUUUGGCAAUAAUCCAUUUUGUUUAGGAUCAGAAUGCUUAAGGAGAGCAAUUAUAUCUUUUCCUUAAUAAAAUUCUCUAAGUAAAAAGAAA
This is a long non-coding RNA of Dromaius novaehollandiae (emu), 3225 nucleotides long. RefSeq lists it as uncharacterized. The transcript has 2 exons. The record is from RefSeq and is a predicted model, not a curated record. NCBI's taxonomy places the organism in Eukaryota, Metazoa, Chordata, Aves, Casuariiformes, Dromaiidae.